RNAcentral lists this ribosomal RNA (253 nucleotides) under uncultured bacterium. RNAcentral describes it as "partial 16S ribosomal RNA". It matches the Rfam family "Bacterial small subunit ribosomal RNA", at positions 524 to 776 of the family's 1533-position model. The record is from RNAcentral.
UACGUAGGGUGCAAGCGUUGUCCGGAUUUAUUGGGCGUAAAGAGCUCGUAGGCGGUCUGUCGCGUCGGAUGUGAAAACCCAGGGCUCAACCCUGGGCCUGCAUUCGAUACGGGCAGACUAGAGUACGGCAGGGGAGACUGGAAUUCCUGGUGUAGCGGUGAAAUGCGCAGAUAUCAGGAGGAACACCGGUGGCGGAGGCGGGUCUCUGGGCCGUAACUGACGCUGAGGUGCGAAAGCGUGGGGAGCAAACAGG